The sequence is a ribosomal RNA, 599 nucleotides long. It matches the Rfam family "Bacterial small subunit ribosomal RNA", at positions 1033 to 1524 of the family's 1533-position model.
CACAGGUGUUGCAUGGCUGCCGAUCAGAUCGUGGUGCCGAACUGUUAUUUUCGUAUUUAAAUAUCACGAUCAACUCCCUUACCCAAAGGUUUAUAAUUUACACCGUCCACUCUGCUUUGGCAGAAUGGAUAGCGUGGGUAUAAAUAUUGUGGACUAUUGUGCGUUUAUACACGUACAAAGGUAGAUAGGUCGACGACAAGUCCUCAUGGCCCAGAUGAAAUAGGCUAUACGUGUGUUACAAUGAACGUCUCAAUAAGUUGCAAACAUAUAUAUAUAUAUAUAAGUGGGAGCGAUUCUUUUAAAAGCGUUCUUGUUCAGACUAUUCUCUGAAACUCGGGAAUAUAAAGGCGGAAUCACCAGUAAUCGCGGAUCAGCACGCCGCGGUGAAACACAAAAACUUACCCGGGGCACUCACCGCCCGUCACGUUCUGAAAGGAUGCUAGGCUGGAAAAUAUGCAUGCUUUUUAUUCAAUGUAUAUUAUAUAUAUCUAAAAUGUUAUAUAAAAAAUUGAGUAUUUGGUAUGAAAUAUUUAAGGUCUGGUAACCAAUUGGAAUAAAGUCGUAACAAGGUAUGACUUCCGGAAGGAGGUCAUGGAACG